GAUCAUGGCUCAGGAUGAACGCUAGCUACAGGCUUAACACAUGCAAGUCGAGGGGAAACGACAUCGAAAGCUUGCUUUGAUGGGCGUCGACCGGCGCACGGGUGAGUAACGCGUAUCCAACCUGCCCACCACUUGGGGAUAACCUUGCGAAAGUAAGACUAAUACCCAAUGAUAUCCCACGAAGGCAUCCGAAUGGGAUUAAAGAUUUAUCGGUGAUGGAUGGGGAUGCGUCUGAUUAGCUUGUUGGCGGGGUAACGGCCCACCAAGGCUACGAUCAGUAGGGGUUCUGAGAGGAAGGUCCCCCACAUUGGAACUGAGACACGGUCCAAACUCCUACGGGAGGCAGCAGUGAGGAAUAUUGGUCAAUGGGCGAGAGCCUGAACCAGCCAAGUAGCGUGCAGGAUGACGGCCCUAUGGGUUGUAAACUGCUUUUAUAAGGGAAUAAAGUGAGUCUCGUGAGACUUUUUGCAUGUACCUUAUGAAUAAGGACCGGCUAAUUCCGUG
RNAcentral lists this ribosomal RNA (504 nucleotides) under uncultured bacterium. RNAcentral's name for it is "bacterial SSU rRNA". It matches the Rfam family "Bacterial small subunit ribosomal RNA", at positions 15 to 507 of the family's 1533-position model. The record is from RNAcentral.